Molecule: long non-coding RNA, 2298 nt
Organism: Panicum virgatum (switchgrass)
Lineage: Eukaryota; Viridiplantae; Streptophyta; Magnoliopsida; Poales; Poaceae
Exons: 2
Source: RefSeq, a predicted model, not a curated record
CACCUACGGCGCGGCUUCUCGAAGGAGCUUCUCAUCGCCUCCGCUUCGCAAGCCGUAGCCGCGACCUCCGCCCCCGGCCUCCGUCCUUCCCCUUCCUCCUCCAGCUCCUUGCUGGCGACGCGGCCACGCCACAGAUGAGGCCCAGCCCUGACUGCACGCGUGACGGCCCGGGGCGAGCUCGUCGCGGGCGCUGGCGUCUACGAGGGCGGCCCGCGCGCCGCCUCACUCCUCCUGCUUCGCGCGGGCGGCACGGGCCCAGCGCGACCUCGUCGCAGGCAAGCUGCACCCCCAUGUGGCGCGUCGUCGGGAUCGGCGCGGCCAGCCUGCAGAUUCGGCGGCGCCGCCCCCCGCAGGGUCUUCGCAGAGACGAGACGACCGGCCAAGUGCUGCGUCGCGGAGACUGUCGCGGCCCGGAAGCGGAUCGGCGGCCAGCAACUGCCGCCCGGUGGCUGUGGCCUUGAUGUCCGGCUCGUGCCCACGCGCUGUCCGGAGGUGUGCUGUGCUACCCGCCGAGCCGCCGCGGAUCAGGAGAACGAAGGAAAUGGAGCCACAGCGUCGAGCUGCCUGCCGAGCAGCCGCACCGAUCCGCCACGCCUUCCACUGGGCCACCGCGCAUCGCCGGGCCGCCGUGCUCCUCGGCACGAGCAGCGAGGCCACUCCGGGCCGCCCGCGACGCUGCGCCGCAGCUUGCGGAGGAGGAGCCGCUGCCUCAUUAUUGCGGAGGAGCAGCCGCGCCGAGCCGCCGACCCACCGCGCUCCUCGGCGCUAGCGGCGAGGCCACGCCAGGCUCAUCAAGGAGGGAGAAAUUACUGCGGACCUGGGCUACGUCGGCGCCUCCUGCUAAUGCACCGCCAUCGCCGCGCGUCACUCGCUGCCUGCAGGCAAAGGUCUGCGGUUCGAGUCCAUAUAUCCUCUUCCUAGCGUAAGUUGCCCGCUCGCCUUCCAGAACAUUGGCGGUGUGACGUUUUCGAGCUUGCCUGGGCACAGUGAUGGCGGCGGCCGGGCUGGGCGAUUCAGGAAUGACAGCAUGGUUGUUGACAGGACGAGCGUGGCCCCAUAUGCUAUCCUAUAGUUGCAAGUGCAUGUCAUGUGUUUGCUGAAAUGCCUAUUUGAGAUGUUCAGGCCCUACUAUCGUUUUCCAAAUCUACAUUUCAUCAGCAAAGAUGAUCACAGGAAUGCAUCUUCUCAUGUUCAGUUUCACUAACAGGAGAAAGCCACUAAGUGAACCUUUGAUCAGAACAGCAAUGGGAAAUGCCAUGUAAGUGGACCUUUACUGCAUUCUUGGAUGGAUCAUAUUUACUACUAUUUUGGUUCCACAAAUGCACCAAUGAUAAAAGUGUUGCCCACCAUAUUUUGCAAACAGUUUGCACAUGCUAAUUUGUCAAUUAAGUUCUAGCAUCGACUUUUACUGGACUUACAUUCCUAUGCCAAGCUCCAUGUAUUCUAAUCGUACUGCACUAGAUAAAGAAUCACUUAAAGUAUUCCUGUAGUGAAAUGAAAAGCAAUACCUUGCUCCGAAACUGCUAUCCUACUAUUUUCAGAUUGACAUAGUUAGACAUUUGUAGCCUAUUAGUCUACUUAUUUAUGAAACUCUGAAAUCUGCAACUUUACAUCUCACCAUGCCUUCUCAUUUUUGUGUUGUUUACAUAAACCUUCCUGAAAUUCUUCUGCUUCAAGUACCUCAUUUUUUUCAUGCCUUUGUAACUAAUUGCUGUGAUAUUACGUGUUUAAUAGAGAUCUUCGAGAUGUGAAGCAUAUUGUUUUAGCUUACGAGGUGCAGUCUUUUCUGCUUUAUUUCAACUGAAAUGCUCCAAAUUCUAAUUACUACAGGAGUUUCUCUCUCAAACCAAUCCAACAACUGAUAAAACAUUACAAUACUCGAUCUGUUGAUUGUAUGAGGUCCAGUAAUAUAGUGGAUAUAUUAACAUCUCCAUAGCAAAGCUUACUAUUUGACAUAUUAUUAUCCUGCUACUGCAUAAAUAUUUGCACAAUAUAUUAGAUACUUUCUUUCUCUCUCUUUUUUGGUUUGGUACAGGAAGAAAUAUCUGGGAGGCUUCUCACAUUUGGUCCUUAUCUUUCAUGGCCAAACAAGAAGGCAGACUCAAAAAAGACAUAGAAGCACAUGUACUUAAAGAAAAUGCUACUCAUACGUAAUUCACAGUUUUGGCAGACCAACAUAGACCUAAAAUAUUAUCUAGAACUGUACUAAUCAUAUACCGCAUAUAGUUUCAUUGUAUCAUAAAAAAUAAUUACUUGCAACAAAGUCUAAAUCUAAGUGCUGAACAGUUCAGCUUUUCC